This is a non-coding RNA of Coturnix japonica (Japanese quail), 2750 nucleotides long. Lineage: Eukaryota; Metazoa; Chordata; Aves; Galliformes; Phasianidae. The record is from RefSeq and is a predicted model, not a curated record.
UUUAAAUCUAUGGCCAUUUGGUUUGGGAUUCCCUGUUUUAAUGCAAAACUUAAACUGUUCUCCUGUGUUUACCAAAUAACUGCGGCUGAACAUCAUUCUGGUCUGCUGGGUAUGUAGUCAAAUGGUCCGAGUCCUCUCAGUUGUUGUCAGUUUAAAACAAGUGAAUGCAAACACAUACUUGAAAUGAAAAAAUAAUCUGGAAUCUGUUAGAAUGAAGCAUUCUGAUGGCUCUGCUGGGGAUGCAGCACCUACAGUGCUGGACACACGUCCCUUCUGGUUCUUAUCUCUGUGUUUUUCUUUAAGGAAUUCCAUCCCAACAUGACCAGGACUGUCUCCUCUCAUCUGACAGCAGUGUUUGGCUUUUAUCCCACCUGCUGCCUCUGGGAGCAGGCUCAACACAGGAGCACAACCAUACAAGAGGUUUGUUGCGCUUUUGCUUAAGGAGUGCUUUGUGUUAAACACUGCAGCUCUAACCCCCAAGGUACCAUCGCAAAUUGCUCUGAGCCGUGUGCUGCUGCCAGCACUGCCAAGCCUGCGUGUGCUGCUAGAACCUCCCAGGGCCACGGGACCUGCAGGGUGAAGUCAGCACUCCUGCUGCCAGAGGAGCCCCAGUCCGGCAUGCGGAGGGGAGGCCACAGCACGGCUCUUCUUGCAAGCUGUUUUAUCCUAAUGAUCCACUGAAGAUUGUAAAGGCAAGAGGCCAGUACAUGUAUGAUGAGAAUGGAAGACAAUACCUUGACUGCAUAAACAACGUUGCUCACGUUGGACAUUGCCACCCUGAUGUAGUAAAAGCAGCCCACGAGCAAAACCAAUUGCUAAAUACAAAUUCUCGUUAUCUUCACGACAACCUGACUGAUUAUGCAGAGAGACUUUCAGAAAAGCUACCUGACAAGUUGUGCACCUUUUAUUUCUUGAACUCUGGAUCUGAGGCUAAUGAUCUUGCCCUAAGAAUGGCAAGACAGUUUACAAAGCAUGAGGACGUUAUAGUUCUAGACCAUGCUUACCAUGGACAUCUGACAUCCUUGAUUGACAUAAGCCCAUAUAAAUUCAGAAAUCUAGGAGGACAAAAGGAAUGGGUCCACGUGGCUCCUGUUCCAGACACAUACAGAGGACUAUACAGAGAGGACCAUGAAGAUCCAGUAACAGCCUACGCUAAUGAAGUGAAAAAUAUUAUUAAGCAAGCACAUAAGAAAGGCAGAAAGAUUGCUGCAUUUUUUGCUGAAUCUCUGCCAAGCGUUGGUGGUCAGAUCCUCCCACCAGAAGGCUAUUUUCAGAAAGUUGCAGAGCAUGUGCACAAGGCUGGAGGUGUAUUUGUUGCUGAUGAAAUUCAAGUUGGCUUUGGCAGGGUUGGCAAGCACUUUUGGGCAUUCCAGCUUCAGGGAGAAGACUUUAUACCUGACAUAGUCACUAUGGGGAAACCCAUAGGUAAUGGGCACCCUAUUGCCUGCGUAGCAACAACUAAAGAAAUUGCAGAAGCGUUUGCAGCCACCGGAGUAGAAUAUUUCAACACAUUUGGAGGAAACCCUGUUUCAUGUGCCAUUGGAUUGGCUGUUUUAGAUGUGAUAGAGAAGGAACAGCUUCAAGUUCAUGCAACAGAAGUUGGCAACUUCUUUAUGAAGCUACUCAUGGAGCAAAAAAUCAAGCACCCCCUCAUUGGUGAUGUCAGAGGUUCUGGCUUAUUCAUUGGAGUGGACUUAAUUAAAGAUCAAGCAAAAAGAACCCCAGCCACAGAAGAAGCAGAGUAUUUAAUAAUAAGGCUUAAGGAAGAAUAUAUUCUACUGAGUACAGAUGGGCCAGGAAGAAAUGUACUUAAAUUCAAGCCCCCAAUGUGUUUCACUAUGGAGGAUGCAAAAUUUGUAGUGGACACCAUUGACAAACUUUUAACAGGUAAGACAGACUUAAAAAUGCCUUACAGCAGUUACUGUUGGACUGAGCAACUGAGCCCGCUUUUCAGAAGUCCUGGAACAAAGCCUAAAUGGCAGACACUAAACACACAGGAAAGUCAAUCAUUGAGAGUUUAGCCUUCACUUCCAAACAAUCCAAGUUCUCUAGCAGAACUUUUUACUCCAGGGAAGCAUAUACACCUGUAGAAGUUUCGUUCUGGCAGAGGGUAGCAUUUGCUUACAGCAAAUGUCAAAGCUAACCACAUUUCAUUGCCAAGAGCCAUCGUGUGGAUGCUUUUUAUGCUAUUUGUACAACUUGUGCACAGUGUUAAACAAAUUACUCUAAAACGAAUUCAACUCCAGGUUUGUUAAGUUGUUGCUUGUUGUCCUUCCAGAUAUGGAAAAAGAACAUCUGAACCAGGAGAAAACAUCCACUGGCUCAACCUAAGCAGCACUGCCCCAACCUAGCCACUUAGGAAAGACGGAGGUUAUUCUAGAGGCAAAGGUGCUCAUGCUGUGCUCCCUGUCACGCAGCCAACAUUACUGUACAUCCAGAAGAAUCCCAUUUAACAUGCUGCUCAGGCCAAGGAAAGUGGGGAGCUCACCUGAGCAUAGCCACUACUGCUUCUGCCUAACAUCCUGCAGAACCACUAGGACUAAGCUGUUGGACUGCUUCACCUGAGCUGCAACGACUGAAGAGCUACUGACAAGGCUGAAAAAUAAGCCAAAUGAGUUUUCUUGGCAGCUUUCAUACAGUCUAUACUGUGAGCAUGUGUUGGACUGUGAAGUACACUUAACCAACAGUUGAAAAUUCAACUUUUUCCAACACUACAAAUAAUCAAAAAUAAAUAGAAUUGAAAUUUCCAA